Pelobates cultripes (western spadefoot toad) is the source of this 488-nucleotide non-coding RNA. The record is from the annotation of a GenBank genome assembly. Lineage: Eukaryota; Metazoa; Chordata; Amphibia; Anura; Pelobatidae.
CUCGCCCCAAUGGUUAGAAAUAGAGAACUGUUGGGCACAACCAUUAAAACUGCACUCGCUGUUUUGGACCCCCAAAACGCAUAGAAAGGAGACCACAUCUCUUACCCACAACUCAACACAUCUUACAGCACUGGGACUCUUCUAAACACCAGAUGGUACACUAUCUCCCAAUGCUGAUGGCAGCCCCACUAACAGCCCUAGAACUCAUAAUACCGACCCUAAAUACACAACCACGGCUACAGGUGGGCUCCGGGAAAUAAGGCAACUCUAUCACAACGGAAACAUAAAGCCCUUUCCAGACAUACAACAAGAAUUCAAUCUCCCUCCAUGACUGAUCUUCCCCUACCUACAAAUCAAAUCCUACCUAACAAAAAACAAACCCUGCAAGACGCAUAACAAACCCACAAUGCACAUGUCCGAAUUUGAACUAAUAUGUAUCCAUAGAAAACCACUACUCCAGGAGCCAGACCAAGACAGAGACACAUACA